CCUACGGGAGGCAGCAGUGAGGAAUAUUGGUCAAUGGCCGGAAGGCUGAACCAGCCAUGCCGCGUGAAGGUCAGUGCCCUAUGGGCUUUAAACUUCUUUUGUGCGGGAGCAAUAUUGGUCACGUGUGGCCAGACGAGAGUACCGUACGAAUAAGCAUCGGCUAACUCCGUGCCAGCAGCCGCGGGUAUACGGGGGAUGCAAGCGUUAUCCGGAUUUAAUGGGUUUAAAGGGUGCGUAAGCUGUUAGGUAAGUCAGCGGUGAAAUGCCCCCGCUCAACGGGGUGAAGUGCCAUUGAUACUGCCUGGCUGGAAUGCGGAUGCGGUAGGAGGAAUGUGUGGUGUAGCGGUGAAAUGCAUAGAGAUCACACAGAACACCGAUUGCGAAGGCAUCUCACGAAUCCGCGAUUGACGCUGAGGCACGAAAGCGUGGGGAGCAAACAGGAUUAGAUACCCCUGUAGUC
This 460-nucleotide ribosomal RNA is filed under the name uncultured bacterium. RNAcentral's name for it is "partial 16S ribosomal RNA". It matches the Rfam family "Bacterial small subunit ribosomal RNA", at positions 338 to 795 of the family's 1533-position model. The record is from RNAcentral.